GAUGAACGCUGGCGGCGUGCCUAAUACAUGCAAGUCGAGCGAACGGACGAGAAGCUUGCUUCUCUGAUGUUAGCGGCGGACGGGUGAGUAACACGUGGAUAACCUACCUAUAAGACUGGGAUAACUUCGGGAAACCGUAGCUAAUACCGGAUAAUAUUUUGAACCGCAUGGUUCAAAAGUGAAAGACGGUCUUGCUGUCACUUAUAGAUGGAUCCGCGCUGCAUUAGCUAGUUGGUAAGGUAACGGCUUACCAAGGCAACGAUGCAUAGCCGACCUGAGAGGGUGAUCGGCCACACUGGAACUGAGACACGGUCCAGACUCCUACGGGAGGCAGCAGUAGGGAAUCUUCCGCAAUGGGCGAAAGCCUGACGGAGCAACGCCGCGUGAGUGAUGAAGAUCUUCGGAUCGUAAAACUCUGUUAUUAGGGAAGAACAUAUGUGUAAGUAACUGUGCACAUCUUGACGGUACCUAAUCAGAAAGCCACGGCUAACUACGUGCCAGCAGCCGCGGUAAUACGUAGGUGGCAAGCGUUAUCCGGAAUUAUUGGGCGUAAAGCGCGCGUAGGCGGUUUUUUAAGUCUGAUGUGAAAGCCCACGGCUCAACCGUGGAGGGUCAUUGGAAACUGGAAAACUUGAGUGCAGAAGAGGAAAGUGGAAUUCCAUGUGUAGCGGUGAAAUGCGCAGAGAUAUGGAGGAACACCAGUGGCGAAGGCGACUUUCUGGUCUGUAACUGACGCUGAUGUGCGAAAGCGUGGGGAUCAAACAGGAUUAGAUACCCUGGUAGUCCACGCCGUAAACGAUGAGUGCUAAGUGUUAGGGGGUUUCCGCCCCUUAGUGCUGCAGCUAACGCAUUAAGCACUCCGCCUGGGGAGUACGACCGCAAGGUUGAAACUCAAAGGAAUUGACGGGGACCCGCACAAGCGGUGGAGCAUGUGGUUUAAUUCGAAGCAACGCGAAGAACCUUACCAAAUCUUGACAUCCUUUGACAACUCUAGAGAUAGAGCCUUCCCCUUCGGGGGACAAAGUGACAGGUGGUGCAUGGUUGUCGUCAGCUCGUGUCGUGAGAUGUUGGGUUAAGUCCCGCAACGAGCGCAACCCUUAAGCUUAGUUGCCAUCAUUAAGUUGGGCACUCUAAGUUGACUGCCGGUGACAAACCGGAGGAAGGUGGGGAUGACGUCAAAUCAUCAUGCCCCUUAUGAUUUGGGCUACACACGUGCUACAAUGGACAAUACAAAGGGCAGCGAAACCGCGAGGUCAAGCAAAUCCCAUAAAGUUGUUCUCAGUUCGGAUUGUAGUCUGCAACUCGACUACAUGAAGCUGGAAUCGCUAGUAAUCGUAGAUCAGCAUGCUACGGUGAAUACGUUCCCGGGUCU
RNAcentral lists this ribosomal RNA (1372 nucleotides) under uncultured bacterium. RNAcentral's name for it is "bacterial SSU rRNA". It matches the Rfam family "Bacterial small subunit ribosomal RNA", at positions 28 to 1381 of the family's 1533-position model. The record is from RNAcentral.